CGUAGGGUGCGAGCGUUAAUCGGAAUUACUGGGCGUAAAGCGUGCGCAGGCGGUUUUGUAAGACAGAUGUGAAAUCCCCGGGCUCAACCUGGGACCCGCAUUUGUGACUGCAAGGCUAGAGUACGGUAGAGGGGGAUGGAAUUCCGCGUGUAGCAGUGAAAUGCGUAGAUAUGCGGAGGAACACCGAUGGCGAAGGCAAUCCCCUGGACCUGUACUGACGCUCAUGCACGAAAGCGUGGGGAGCAAACAGGAUUAGAUACCCUGGUAGUCCACGCCCUAAACGAUGUCAACUGGUUGUUGGGUCUUUACUGACUCAGUAACGAAGCUAACGCGUGAAGUUGACCGCCUGGGGAGUACGGCCGCAAGGUUG
This 370-nucleotide ribosomal RNA is filed under the name uncultured organism. RNAcentral describes it as "bacterial SSU rRNA". It matches the Rfam family "Bacterial small subunit ribosomal RNA", at positions 526 to 896 of the family's 1533-position model. The record is from RNAcentral.